GGGCGCCUAGUAUAGUGGUCAGUACACUUCGUUGUGGUUCUCUCUGAGGUCUUCCCCGAAGAAACCCAGGUUCGAUUCCUGGGGCGCCCA
This is a non-coding RNA of Cercophora sp. LCS_1, 90 nucleotides long. Lineage: Eukaryota; Fungi; Ascomycota; Sordariomycetes; Sordariales; Lasiosphaeriaceae. The record is from the annotation of a GenBank genome assembly.